CGGCGCUCGUACGCAGGCGCCAGCCAGACUCGUCGGCCGUGCUGGCGGUGGCGUGGAGACGAGACGCCACCGUCGUGCAACCUGGGCAUGGGGAGCCAGUGGACCUGAUGCACUCCAGGCGGCGGAGUGGGCGAGGGCGAGGCGAGGAGAUGGUCUCGUCGGCGUCCAGCCGCCGGGCGAUUACGACGAGCCGGAUCACUUCAUCAACCCCGUCUUAAAUCUAAAGGCCUCCUCCGUUGGCUGGAAACUGGGAAGAGCGCCAGGAUCCAGGCCCGCCUUCGCCCGCCCGCCAGGUGCUUGCGUUUAUUCCCAUUCCGUCCCACUGCGUCAUGAACUCCUGAAUCGUGAUACGUCCCUAGCUGGAUGGAUUAGCCAGCUAAUGAGAAGUGCCGGAGUGCUUGACCUCGAUUAUAAGUAGGAUGGGAAUUGUAGAGCAUGCUUCUUUCAUCACCAAUUCUCAACAGAGCUGUUCGGGUUCGAGAUUUGGAUUCUCUCACUGGUGAGUGCAUACUGUAGUAGGGCGGGAAGAGCUAAAGGGAAGGAAGGUUUGAUUGAUGAGCUGCACUGGGCGUACUUGAGCAUUUAGGAGUAGCACAUUAUGCAUGAAUAUUACGGAGCUGCAAUGGCGACGGCCUCUAUUAUUAUUAGUAUUCAUCUAUAUGAUUCAGGGAUGGCAAAAAGAGAUAAUGGAGCUAUGGAGUUAUUAUUGACUUCAGAGGAGCCGUGUUGAUAGGGAUGUAAGUGGACUGCGUCCGCAUGUCGGCAAACAGAAAAAUUAAGCGAAUUGGUGCAAUUUUUUGCUUCACGGACAGAUGGGGACGGCGCGGCCGCGCGGACACGUCUGCCUGCAUCCCUAGUUCCCUACGCGUUGAUGAACAGUAAGAAGACGACUUCCGACGACUUGAGGUGCUAAUGGUAUGGGCGUGUCGGAAAACUUAGCUUUCUCUAAUCCAUCCAGACCAUCCAAUAGUUCUUCAAGCCAUCAAGACUGUCCAAUUAUCUGUGUGAAUUGAGUGGCAGGCAGCUGCGCAUCCUUUUCCUCACCACUACCUCUCCUCUACUUCCAAUAAGAUGGAGAUGGAGCUCUCUUCAACCGAUUACUGAGUGAGAGCCGGAGACAGCAGGCAAAAGCCAGAGAUGGGUACCUCAGGUGCUGUGGAAUGGUGGGAGGAGUGGCAGCUGCGUGUCCUCGUCCUGGGCAGCCUCUUCGUCCAGUGGCUCCUCUUCCUCUCCGCUGCCUACCGUAAGCAUGCUAUCCCUUCCUGGUUCAGAUCCAUAAUAUGGCUUGCAUACCUAGGCAGUGAUGCCCUGGCAAUAUACGCCCUUGCCAUCCUUUUCGGACGCCAGAGGAGGCAGGAUUGUAGCUCUGGGCAGGGCAAUAGUAUACUGGAGGUGGUGUGGGCGCCGGUUCUCCUGACACACCUCGGUGGACAGGACUGUAUAUCUGCCUACAACAUUGAAGACAACGAGCUAUGGACACGGCAUGUCGUCACGGCCGUGUCCCAGAUCACCGUAGCCAUCUACGUGUUCUGCAAAUCGUGGACAGGCGGCGACAAGAGGUUGUUGCAGGCAGCAAUCUUGUUCUUUGUCCCCGGGAUCCUCAAAUGCAUAGAGAAGCCCUGGGCUCUCAAGAGCGCUAGCAUUAACAGUCUAGUCAGCCCUGCUCCGAGGAGGACCACAAACAGAGAAAGCAGGAUCAACUCGCUUGAAGACUAUGUGGAGAUGGCAAGGGCUUUUGUCCAGACCAACCCUCGUCGUCAAGCACAAGAAAGUGAUGGAGUUCACCUUCAGGCUGACACCCAUGUGCCUCAAGCACAAGGAGAAGAUGAAGCACUGGACCUUGAGGCCGAUCAUCAACCUGGAGCACAAGGAGAAGCUGCUGUGAUGGAUCUUGAGUCUGACAGCCACCUUCAGACAUCAAGCAUAUGGAGAAGUUGCCUAAACCAAAUAAACGUAAAAAUGAGAAGCCUCGGAAACCAAGAAAGGGAACAAAGAAGCCGACUCGAUGACUAUAAUAUGGACCUUGGGGCCUAUAAGCUAUUUCUGGACCUUGCAUCACCGUAUUCUGAUCGAGUUGGUAUCCUAAAAUCCUUCUGGGUGCUCGAGGGAAAACAAGCAUAUGCUUUGUUGCAAAAUAAACUAUUUGGAGCAUUUGAUCUUCUCUACACUAAAAGAAAGAUGUUCAUCUUAUGGGAUGAGAGAAGCAAGGUAAACGUAAGUAUCUUGGGGCUUCUUUCUAGCUGGUUACGGGUUUCAGCUCUGCUUCUGCCAUGGGCUGCCAUCGGCCUCUUCCACAAUAGUCACAGUGAAGCUUAUAAUGCUGACGAUGUCAAGGUUACAUAUGCCUUAUUCUACUGUACAGCCGUGCUGGAGUUUUUCAGUAUUUCUUUGAUGAGAGAAAGUAUUGCAAAGGGUCAAGUGAAAUUCAAUUUGGAAUCUCUGGUUGCUGGCCUUAUUGGUAGCCUACUAAGUGCUCCGAGUAAUGAGGUACUGGAAACUAGCUUUGUAGGCCAAUAUACACUGGUAGGAUUCUUUGCUCGCAACAAAAGGCACAUCAAGAAGAUGUGCAUCGUGAACUUCUUCAAUUGCAAGGACUUUCUUGACCAACAUUGGUCCAUGAAGCCCUGCGACGCAUCUUUUGCCGUCACAGAGUUGGUUCUUAAGUAUGUGAAGAACGGGUGGGAAGAUCAAAUGAAGGAUGUUGACAGUUAUUGGAAGUUCAAUGACCGCAGAGGCCUAUGGACACUUCAGGCCAACAAGUGCGAGCAAGACCUCGGUUGCAGCAUAAGGAGGCCAUUCGACGAGAGCAUCCUUCUCUGGCACAUCGCCACGGAUUUCUGCUUCUACUUCAUGGGAGCAUCAGCAGAUCACCGGUGUGCCACUGCUCAAUGUAUUCAAGAUGCAUCUGGUGAUGGCCAUGGGUGUGCUGUUUGGUGUGAAAGAUCUCCUCAUCACAAAAGAGCCAUCCGGUGCAGGGAAAUGUCCAAUUACAUGAUAUAUCUACUGUUUGUCAAUCCUGAGAUGCUACUGGCCGGCACCAGAAGACAUCUUUUUAUGACCGCUAAUGCUGAAGUUGAGGAGAUCCUCAUGGAUGAGAAGCCAUCGCUCAAGAAGAUUUUCAAGGCCAAAAGUCCAUGGCUCAUGGACAUCCUAAAAGGAGAAAAGCAAUGGCUUAAAGACAUCCUGACGGAAGAAAAGCAACGGCUGAAAGACAUUUUCAGUAGCGAAGAUUCACUUCCAUGGAAGGUUCUCAAGGGCGUGUCGAAGUGGAUCCUCAGCAGCAAAGGCUCACUUUACUGGAAGGUUAGCAACGGCCUGUCCAAGGAGGUCCUCAAGGCUGAAAAGGAAUGGCUUGAGAAGAUUGAAAGAGAACUCGUGCAGAUAAUAAUCUCCAGGGUGCAGCCCACAGAAUGCAGAGAGGUUUCUGAAUGCACAGAAUUGCCGCCGGAUGCAGAGAUGUAUCCAACUACGCAAUUUAUCCAUGAUGCAUGGAAGCUCGCUAAAGCGUUGUUGGAUCUAGGUGAUGACAACAAGAUGUGGGGAGUUAUUGAAGGCGUGUGGGUGGAGAUGCUCUGCUUCUCUGCAAGUAGAGGCCGUGGGUACCUACAUGCCAAGAGUUUGGGCACCGGUGAGGAGCUUCUCACGUAUGUGUGGCUCCUGCUGUCCUGCAUGGGGAUGGAGACCUUGCCGGAGAGGCUGCAGAGGACGGACCUUUCAAGUGGGGAAGGAAACGCCGGUGCUGCUCCGUCGACUUCACAGACAUAUGGGAUCCAGUAUCCAGCACGCUUCGGGCGCUUAAGAUCACAUGAAGAAGAAGCUGCAGCUGCUGGCGCAUCUACCUCUCAUCCCCAAGAAAUACUACCAGCUGAUUAGUCUGAGAAAUUAUUAUCUCUGUAUUGAUUAUGCAUCGAGAUAACCUCAUGCCUAUUACCCAUCUGCCGAUACUUUGGGAGGGGAUGUUAUGAAAAAAAGUUGCUGCUGCUGCUGCCGCAUCUGCCUCUCGACCCCAAGAAGUACUAGCUGAAAUAAUCUGAGAAAGGAAAUAAUCCUGUGUCUGUAUCAGCCAUCUGCCGUUUGAUACCUUCAUUUUCUUGGUCUGAAGCUACACUUUUGUGCAGACCUUAAUGAUGCACUACAUUAUGUUCGUG
RNA transcript from Triticum dicoccoides, 4148 nucleotides. RefSeq lists it as uncharacterized. NCBI's taxonomy places the organism in Eukaryota, Viridiplantae, Streptophyta, Magnoliopsida, Poales, Poaceae. The record is from RefSeq and is a predicted model, not a curated record. The transcript has 3 exons.